CACGUAGGGGGCGAGCGUUGUCCGGAUUUAUUGGGCGUAAAGAGCUCGUAGGCGGCUCAGUAAGUCAGGUGUGAAAACUCCAGGCUCAACCUGGAGACGCCACCUGAUACUGCUGUGGCUAGAGUCCGGUAGGGGAGCAUGGAAUUCCUGGUGUAGCGGUGAAAUGCGCAGAUAUCAGGAAGAACACCCGUGGCGAAGGCGGCUCUCUGGGACGGUACUGACGCUGAGACGCGAAAGCUAGGGGAGCAAACAGG
This 254-nucleotide ribosomal RNA is filed under the name uncultured bacterium. RNAcentral describes it as "partial 16S ribosomal RNA". It matches the Rfam family "Bacterial small subunit ribosomal RNA", at positions 524 to 776 of the family's 1533-position model. The record is from RNAcentral.